UGAGUCAAGCGGUUAAAAAUAAAUCCUGUAGUUGUUAGAAGAGAAGACUUUGCUGAUACCUAAGAAGACAAAGUGUUGCCUGCGGUGUCUCCCCGGCUCUCUCAACACACCCGCAGGCUGGGGGAACACUUUCUAUCGGCCAGACAGGCACAUUCAUUACUCAUUAAGUUCUCCAGCUAGACAAACGGCGGUCUAGGGCAUCAGAAGGAAGCGGGUCUUAUCUCAGCGCAGGCACCACACUCCAGAAACGCGCUACCAGCAUAACCGGCUACCAGCGCACGCAUCCCGCUCCCAGGGGUCUUUGGCGGGGGGCUUUGCCCCGCGUCCCGCUCUUCCGGGCAGAGCCGGGGCUCUUGGUAUCGGGGAAAGGCGCUGGGACUGCACCUCUCGGCCGUCACCAACUCAGACCCGGGCAGCACUUUCCCUUUGUGCCGCUAGUCGGCCGAGAGAGUUAACAUCGCCAUGAUUGUGCGAAGGGAAGGUCUCCUCCCAUGGAUGAGAAGCAGACGCAGCUGGAGAGCUUCUGUCUCCUACGGAGCGGAGCGGAGCGGAGCAGAUUCGGCCGGCCAGCGGCCCGAGUUUAAUCUCACCCUUGAAAAAACAUCCUGAGUCACCAUGUAAGAGUGAAGAGUAAAGAGAGCUGGACAUCGUGGUGACAACACACGCGGAAGUCCACAGAAGGCAAAAUGGUGCCGGGCCAGCAGCGGUCCGAACAGAGCACAGGUCGCGGGGAAGUGCGCUGACAGCACGCCAGGCAGCCCAGGCUCGGAGCCACAGGACAGCAGCGAGCACCGCGGUCGGGUCCAGCAGCAGCCACUCUGACACUGAUGUGACUCGUGUCACAGCCAACUGACACGUGUCAGCUUCACAGAUUUUACAACUGAUAUGCAAAAGUGUUUCUGUUUUGUGGUUGUGUUAAGUGCUACUAAACCUAAGUGUAUACUUUUCUGUAUGCUUUUAUACGUUUAUGGUUGUACACAAUUUAGUAACAUGAGAUUAGUAAAAAUUAAUUCUAGUAA
Molecule: long non-coding RNA, 1019 nt
Organism: Herpailurus yagouaroundi (jaguarundi)
Lineage: Eukaryota; Metazoa; Chordata; Mammalia; Carnivora; Felidae
Exons: 2
Source: RefSeq, a predicted model, not a curated record